RNAcentral lists this ribosomal RNA (330 nucleotides) under uncultured bacterium. Its description in RNAcentral is "bacterial SSU rRNA". It matches the Rfam family "Bacterial small subunit ribosomal RNA", at positions 568 to 898 of the family's 1533-position model. The record is from RNAcentral.
CGCGUAGGUGGUAGUGCAAGUCUGGGGUGGAAUCCCAGGGCUUAACCCUGGAACUGCCUUGGAAACUGUAUUGCUUGAGUCAGUGAGGGGAGGGUAGAAUUCCUGGUGUAGCGGUGAAAUGCGUAGAUAUCAGGAGGAAGGCCUGUGGCGAAGGCGGCCCUCUGGCGCUGAACUGACACUGAGGCGCGAAAGCGUGGGGAGCAAACAGGAUUAGAUACCCUGGUAGUCCACGCCCUAAACGGUGGGUACUAGGUGUAGGGCUCGUAAGGGUUCUGUGCCGAAGCGAAAGCAUUAAGUACCCCGCCUGGGGAGUACGGCCGCAAGGUUGAA